UAGACGUCUGUUCGUCCCUCCAUGGAAAUGCCUCCCCAGACCAUCACUGACCCACCACCGAACCGAAAACCGAAAAAUCUAUCUUCCUCUGAAGGCGUUCUUUGCUCCGGGCAGCAGCAGCAGGGCCAUCGUCCUGCCGGGGAGAGCGCUGCUCUAAUUCGGAACAAACCUUUUAUACCUUGCCGUAUGUGCGUUAAGUCACCUACCAGUUUUUCCAUUAGGUCAUAUGUUGUCCUCAUAUGACUCAUAUGCUUCUGAAAUAGACUGCAGGUGCAUCCUGUCCGGCCUCAACCGGAUGAGGUGACCUCUGGGUCAGGCUCAUGAGUCAUCUGCAGUCCUCCACCAAGUAACAUCACUAUUAACGUUACAUCCUGCCUGGGCCUCAACUGGAUGAGAUGACCUCCGGGUCAGACUCAUGCGUGGGACCCAAGACUUCCACCAAGUAGUAUCACUAUUAACGUUACAUCCUGUCUGGGCCUCAACCGGAUGAGGUGACCUCGGGGUCAGACUCAUGCGUGGGACCCAAGCCUUCCAUCAAUUAGUCAUCCCUUGCUGUCUCUUUGGUCUCACUCAACCCUCAAUACAUUAAUGUGUAAAUGGAACUACAAUGUUUAAUACAUGUUGGAAAUCGAUUAAACAUUGCAACA
Syngnathus acus (greater pipefish) is the source of this 647-nucleotide long non-coding RNA. RefSeq lists it as uncharacterized. NCBI's taxonomy places the organism in Eukaryota, Metazoa, Chordata, Actinopteri, Syngnathiformes, Syngnathidae. The transcript has 2 exons. The record is from RefSeq and is a predicted model, not a curated record.